CGGGUGAGUAACGCGUGGGUAACCUGCCUCAUACAGGGGGAUAACGAUUGGAAACGAUUGCUAAUACCGCAUAAGCGCACAGUACCACAUGGUGCAGUGUGAAAAACUCCGGUGGUAUGAGAUGGACCCGCGUCUGAUUAGCUAGUUGGUGAGGUAACGGCCCACCAAGGCAACGAUCAGUAGCCGACCUGAGAGGGUGACCGGCCACAUUGGGACUGAGACACGGCCCAG
This 231-nucleotide ribosomal RNA is filed under the name uncultured bacterium. RNAcentral describes it as "partial 16S ribosomal RNA". It matches the Rfam family "Bacterial small subunit ribosomal RNA", at positions 103 to 334 of the family's 1533-position model. The record is from RNAcentral.